This 213-nucleotide long non-coding RNA is filed under the name Manihot esculenta (cassava). RNAcentral's name for it is "long non-coding RNA (MESC_LNC009020)". The record is from RNAcentral. Lineage: Eukaryota; Viridiplantae; Streptophyta; Magnoliopsida; Malpighiales; Euphorbiaceae.
CUCAAGACUUCAGGGAGUUCCAAAUGUAGUUGAAGACCUUCCCUGUUCAAAUUUCUCUCAUUGAUUGGUCAGAAGUCUUCCAUGGACAAUAAUUAAAAAACCAUACAGUACAGAGAAAAAUAACUGUUAGCAGUAGCACUUGAAAUCAAAACAGCACAUUAAUUAUUCUAAACAAACUAAAAGCAUGCAAAUUUCCAAGUAUUACUCACAUGC